RNAcentral lists this ribosomal RNA (403 nucleotides) under Verrucomicrobiota bacterium. RNAcentral describes it as "Verrucomicrobia bacterium partial 16S ribosomal RNA". It matches the Rfam family "Bacterial small subunit ribosomal RNA", at positions 355 to 776 of the family's 1533-position model. Lineage: Bacteria; Pseudomonadati; Verrucomicrobiota. The record is from RNAcentral.
UGGGGAAUAUUGCACAAUGGGCGCAAGCCUGAUGCAGCAACGCCGCGUGAACGAUGAAGGUCUUCGGAUCGUAAAGUUCUGUUGCAGGGGAAGAUAAUGACGGUACCCUGUGAGGAAGCCCCGGCUAACUACGUGCCAGCAGCCGCGGUAAUACGUAGGGGGCUAGCGUUAUCCGGAUUUACUGGGCGUAAAGGGUGCGUAGGUGGUCUUUCAAGUCGGUGGUUAAAGGCUACGGCUCAACCGUAGUUAGCCUCCGAAACUGGAAGACUUGAGUGCAGGAGAGGAAAGUGGAAUUCCCGGUGUAGCGGUGAAAUGCGUAGAUAUUGGGAGGAAAACCAGUAGCGAAGGCGGCUUUCUGGCCUGCAACUGACACUGAGGCACGAAAGCGUGGGUAGCAAACAGG